RNAcentral lists this long non-coding RNA (865 nucleotides) under Olea europaea subsp. europaea. Lineage: Eukaryota; Viridiplantae; Streptophyta; Magnoliopsida; Lamiales; Oleaceae. The record is from RNAcentral.
CUGUAACGCCCCAAAUAUUAUUGACUUAAAUUUGAGGAGUUACCAAUAUCAUUCCAUAAUCAUACAUCAAGCGGAAAUAAAAUUUAAAAUUUAAUACCUUAAUUUAUUGAAACUCAAAUACUGAAUCAAAUAAACAUAGCGUCAUGAAUGGAAUUGAAGAGAAACAUAAAAUGCCCUAACAAAUUUAUUAUGGAUUCCUAAAAAUUUCUUUUAUUUGGCAACCUGCGCACCACUUAGCCACCAUCCACGUUGACCAAUCUGACCUGAAAAGUUAAAAUGGAAGGAGUGAGUAAUUUAUACUCAGUAUGAUACGUGCGUCCAAAACAAUAUGAUAACUUUUAAAACAUGAAUCUAUAACAUUCCAUACCAUCAUUUCAUUAAAAGCAAUCGGUGAUCAAUCGAAAGCUCUAGUACAUUUGAGAAAAUCCGAAGGCGAUCUCACAUUUCAUUUCAUAGGGACCCGCAGGUCAAUUAGCAUUUCAUGAAAUAAAUCACAUAAAAAAAAUUAUAAUAUUGCAAGGAUGAAUCACUUGCACAUGGUAUCCUACCUCGUUAAUCUACGAAUUUUGAAAACAAGAUCCAAGAAUCACACUCCAAAUGUUUAUUUUCUGUCAACGCAAUUGUUGCCGUGUAUGUGCAUGCAAUAGAUGUGAUUAAAGAGGCAAAGAGAAUUAUAAUUUUGGUAGAAUAUGAAUAUAAUAGGGGUUUUUGCUGAACUUAAAGAAUGAAACCAAAAACUAAGGAAAUGGGGUUCAUGACAAAAAUAUGUGUAUGGCAUUAGUAUUCAUAGGCAAAUAUAAAGUAGUUGAUAAGGGUUAGAACUGUGUUAGUCAUUAUCCUCUAUAAGAUUGAAAUUUAUCCAAAU